GAUGAACGCUGGCGGCGUGCUUAACACAUGCAAGUCGAACGGAAAGGCUCCUGCUUGCUGGGGUACUCGAGUGGCGAACGGGUGAGUAACACGUGGGUGAUCUGCCCUGCACUUCGGGAUAAGCCUGGGAAACUGGGUCUAAUACCGGAUAGGACGAUGGUUUGGAUGCCAUUGUGGAAAGUUUUUCGGUGUGGGAUGAGCUCGCGGCCUAUCAGCUUGUUGUUGGGGUAAUGGCCUACCAAGGCGUCGACGGGUAGCCGGCCUGGGAGGGGGUACGGCCACAUUGGUACUGAGGGACGGCCCAGGCUCCUACGGGGGGCAGCAGGGGGGAAUAUGGCACAAUGGGCGCAAGCCUGAUGCAGCGACGCCGGGUGGGGGAUGACGGCCUUCGGGUUGUAAACUCCUUUCGCUAGGGACGAAGCGCUAGUGACGGUACCUGGAGAAGAAGCACCGGCUAACUACGUG
RNAcentral lists this ribosomal RNA (465 nucleotides) under uncultured bacterium. Its description in RNAcentral is "partial 16S ribosomal RNA". It matches the Rfam family "Bacterial small subunit ribosomal RNA", at positions 28 to 507 of the family's 1533-position model. The record is from RNAcentral.